This 308-nucleotide ribosomal RNA is filed under the name uncultured bacterium. RNAcentral's name for it is "partial 16S ribosomal RNA". It matches the Rfam family "Bacterial small subunit ribosomal RNA", at positions 505 to 808 of the family's 1533-position model. The record is from RNAcentral.
GAGACAGCAGUAGCCGCGGUAAUGCGUAGGGGGCAAGCGUUAUCCGGAAUAACUGGGCGUAAAGGGUGCGCAGGUGGUUUAACAAGUUAGUGGUGAAAGGCAUAGGCUCAACCAAUGUAAGCCAUUAAAACUGUUUAACUUGAGUGCAGGAGAGGAAAGUGGAAUUCCUAGUGUAGCGGUGAAAUGCGUAGAUAUUAAGAGGAAUACCAGCGACGAAGGCGACUUUCUGGACUGCAACUGACACUGAGGCACGAAAGCGUGGGGAGCAAACAGGAUUAGAUACCCCUGUAGUCCCUGUCUCUUAUACA